GACGAAGAACGUAGCGAAAUGCGAUAAGUAAUGUGAAUUGCAGAAUUCAGUGAAUCAUCGAAUCUUUGAACGCACAUUGCGCCCCCUGGUAUUCCGGGGGGCAUGCCUGUCCGAGCGUCAUUACAACCCUCAAGCUCAGCUUGGUGUUGGGCCCCGCCGCCCCGGCGGGCCCUAAAGUCAGUGGCGGUGCCGUCCGGCUCCGAGCGUAGUAAUUCUUCUCGCUCUGGAGGUCCGGUCGUGUGCUCGCCAGCAACCCCCAAUUUUUUUCAGGUUGACCUCGGAUCAGGUAGGGAUACCCGCUGAACUUAAGCAUAUCAAUAAGCGGAGGA
This 329-nucleotide unclassified non-coding RNA is filed under the name soil metagenome. RNAcentral describes it as "partial contains 5.8S ribosomal RNA, internal transcribed spacer 2, and large subunit ribosomal RNA". The stretch from base 1 to 120 matches the Rfam family "5.8S ribosomal RNA", at positions 35 to 154 of the family's 154-position model. The record is from RNAcentral.